This 425-nucleotide ribosomal RNA is filed under the name uncultured bacterium. RNAcentral describes it as "bacterial SSU rRNA". It matches the Rfam family "Bacterial small subunit ribosomal RNA", at positions 29 to 452 of the family's 1533-position model. The record is from RNAcentral.
AUUGAACGCUGGCGGCAGGCCUAACACAUGCAAGUCGAACGGUAGCACAGGAGAGCUUGCUCUUCGGGUGACGAGUGGCGGACGGGUGAGUAAUGCAUGGGGAGCUGCCCAAUCGAGGGGGAUACCAGCUGGAAACGGCUGCUAAUACCGCAUACGCCCUGAGGGGGAAAGGUGGGGACCUUCGGGCCUGCCGCGAUUGGAUGCACCCAUGUGGGAUUAGCUAGUUGGUGAGGUAACGGCUCACCAAGGCGACGAUCUCUAGCUGGUCUGAGAGGAUGACCAGCCACACUGGAACUGAGACACGGUCCAGACUCCUACGGGAGGCAGCAGUGGGGAAUAUUGCACAAUGGGGGAAACCCUGAUGCAGCCAUGCCGCGUGUGUGAAGAAGGCCUCGGUUGUAAGCACUUCUAGUAGGGAGGAAGGG